GACGAACGCUGGCGGCGUGCUUAACACAUGCAAGUCGAGCGGUAAGGCCUUUCGGGGUACACGAGCGGCGAACGGGUGAGUAACACGUGGGUGAUCUGCCCUGCACUUCGGGAUAAGCCUGGGAAACUGGGUCUAAUACCGGAUAUGACCUCCUAUCGCAUGGUGGGUGGUGGAAAGAUUUAUCGGUGCAGGAUGGGCCCGCGGCCUAUCAGCUUGUUGGUGGGGUAAUGGCCUACCAAGGCGACGACGGGUAGCCGACCUGAGAGGGUGACCGGCCACACUGGGACUGAGACACGGCCCAGACUCCUACGGGAGGCAGCAGUGGGGAAUAUUGCACAAUGGGCGAAAGCCUGAUGCAGCGACGCCGCGUGAGGGAUGACGGCCUUCGGGUUGUAAACCUCUUUCAGCAGGGACGAAACGCAAGUGACGGUACCUGCAGAAGAAGCACCGGCUAACUACGUG
RNAcentral lists this ribosomal RNA (462 nucleotides) under uncultured bacterium. RNAcentral's name for it is "partial 16S ribosomal RNA". It matches the Rfam family "Bacterial small subunit ribosomal RNA", at positions 28 to 507 of the family's 1533-position model. The record is from RNAcentral.